This is a long non-coding RNA of Haliotis rubra (blacklip abalone), 247 nucleotides long. RefSeq lists it as uncharacterized. The record is from RefSeq and is a predicted model, not a curated record. Lineage: Eukaryota; Metazoa; Mollusca; Gastropoda; Lepetellida; Haliotidae. The transcript has 2 exons.
ACGCAGUGGUAGAACUGAUGUUGGUUUACACCUCACCCACUGUUUCAGGAAUGCUGCUUGAGGCGACGGGAGAUUACCACACUGCAUUUAUGUUUUCAGCCUCGUCUUUUCUUCUGGCAUCCAUACUCGGUUUACUGAUGAUCUGUGCGAAGUCAGAACGUUCAGACGGAGAGACACCACUUACUACAACCCUACCGGAAAGAGAGGCCUUGGAAGUUUAAAGAAAGUCGAUGUUUGUGUUUGGGAA